AAAGGUAUAGCUCAGCUGGGAGAGCGCUUGAAUGGCAUUCAAGAGGUCAUGGAUUCGAAUCCCACUAUCUUCA
This is a transfer RNA of 73 nucleotides. It matches the Rfam family "tRNA". Rfam says of the family: Transfer RNA (tRNA) molecules are approximately 80 nucleotides in length.